ACGUAGGUCCCGAGCGUUGUCCGGAUUUAUUGGGCGUAAAGCGAGCGCAGGCGGUUAGAAAAGUCUGAAGUGAAAGGCAGUGGCUCAACCAUUGUAGGCUUUGGAAACUGUUUAACUUGAGUGCAGAAGGGGAGAGUGGAAUUCCAUGUGUAGCGGUGAAAUGCGUAGAUAUAUGGAGGAACACCGGUGGCGAAAGCGGCUCUCUGGUCUGUAACUGACGCUGAGGCUCGAAAGCGUGGGGAGCGAACAG
This 250-nucleotide ribosomal RNA is filed under the name uncultured bacterium. RNAcentral's name for it is "partial 16S ribosomal RNA". It matches the Rfam family "Bacterial small subunit ribosomal RNA", at positions 525 to 775 of the family's 1533-position model. The record is from RNAcentral.